RNAcentral lists this ribosomal RNA (468 nucleotides) under uncultured bacterium. Its description in RNAcentral is "partial 16S ribosomal RNA". It matches the Rfam family "Bacterial small subunit ribosomal RNA", at positions 28 to 507 of the family's 1533-position model. The record is from RNAcentral.
GACGAACGCUGGCGGCGUGCUUAACACAUGCAAGUCGAACGGAAAGGCCCUGCUUUUGUGGGGUGCUCGAGUGGCGAACGGGUGAGUAACACGUGAGUAACCUGCCCUUGACUUUGGGAUAACUUCAGGAAACUGGGGCUAAUACCGGAUAGUAGCUCCUGCUGCAUGGUGGGGGUUGGAAAGUUUCGGCGGUUGGGGAUGGACUCGCGGCUUAUCAGCUUGUUGGUGGGGUAGUGGCUUACCAAGGCUUUGACGGGUAGCCGGCCUGAGAGGGUGACCGGCCACAUUGGGACUGAGAGACGGCCCAGAGUCCUACGGGAGGCAGCAGUGGGGAAUAUUGCACAAUGGGCGGAAGCCUGAUGCAGAAACGCCGCGUGCGGGAUGACGGCCUUCGGGUUGUAAACCGCUUUCGCCUGUGACGAAGCGUGAGUGACGGUAAUGGGUAAAGAAGCACCGGCUAACUACGUG